This 273-nucleotide ribosomal RNA is filed under the name uncultured bacterium. RNAcentral describes it as "partial 16S ribosomal RNA". It matches the Rfam family "Bacterial small subunit ribosomal RNA", at positions 524 to 796 of the family's 1533-position model. The record is from RNAcentral.
UACGGAGGGGGCUAGCGUUGUUCGGAAAUACUGGGCGUAAAGCGAACGUAGGCGGCUUGGCAAGUCAGGGGUGAAAUCCCAGUGCUCAACACUGGAACUGCCUUUGAAACUGCCAGGCUUGAAUCCUGGAGAGGCGAGUGGAAUUCCGAGUGUAGAGGUGAAAUUCGUAGAUAUUCGGAAGAACACCAGUGGCGAAGGCGACUCGCUGGACAGGUAUUGACGCUGAGGUUCGAAAGCGUGGGGAGCAAACAGGAUUAGAUACCCCGGUAGUCC